UGUGUUUCUGUGUCUGUGUGUCUGUGUUUAUUUUUUUCCAGGACUUGUUUUGGUGGCUGUGUGGCUUUCAGUUUCAGUUUCUCAUUUGCCUCAAGACAGACAGUGGGAGGAGCCAGCUAGGGCUGAGUUACGCCCCUGGACUGGAGUGCAAAAGGAGGAGAUGUGAUGACUCCCAAGGGGGUCGUGGAGGAGGAUUCCUCAGAUGAAGACCCAGAGCAGGGGGAGCAGGUCGAAACUCCGGUCAACUCAGCCGAGCCAGAGCUGACAGGCCUGCAGGCCCCUCUGCCUCCUUUCCUCCCUCCUCCUGAUGAAGACUCCGAGGCCGCUGAAGUCAUGGUGCCUGCCCCAGAUCCCCGACAGCGACGUUUGGCCAGAGUACAAGCUCAGAGGGAGGAACGCCGUAGGUUGGAGAGGCUGGCCGGAAGGAACAGGUGACUCUGACCUGACUGCCCCUCCCUGACAAGGCCAGCUGCAGUGAUGGGCGGGACACUCAGCACACUGCCUAUUUAGAGCAGCCUGAAAUCUGGUUCUGCGCUGGAAACAACAUCCAUGGUGACCAGCCCUACUGUGAGCAACCUUGACCUAGAAAUCUGGACCUGUUUGUUGUUUUCUGACCGUGAUUCGUGUUUACCCCUGAUCCUGUGAAAUUCAUGCUGUUGACUUCUGACAACAUUUUUGACUA
Hemicordylus capensis (graceful crag lizard) is the source of this 682-nucleotide long non-coding RNA. RefSeq lists it as uncharacterized. The transcript is spliced from 2 exons. The record is from RefSeq and is a predicted model, not a curated record. Lineage: Eukaryota; Metazoa; Chordata; Lepidosauria; Squamata; Cordylidae.